UUCCAUCCCACUUACAGGACUGUUUAUUGUUCGUCACCCACCCAAUUACCUACGUGGCAGGAACACCUAUGACUGUUGCACCGGAACACCUUCAUCACCCACACCGGCCUGACCACCUCCGUAUCCGUAACUCCGUAUAUAGUGACUCGAGUGACGGGACAGAGGAAGACUUGUGACCUCUUCGCCUCUGCCAGAUAGACCUGUGAUUAGCAAGGCCACACCUCCGCACACCUGAGCCACAGUGAAGAACGCCAGGUGCCUGAGAUACGCUCUACUGGGGACGAGGAGUGGUGGUGGUGGUGGUGGUGGUAGUGGUGGUGGAGGGAUCACGGUCGCCGCCUAGAAGACACUAUGGAGGACACUGGAGGACUGGAGGACACUGCAAGGUUGGGUUCCCAAGUGAGGCAGACAGCUCACCUUGUUGUCCGCACCAUCGCUGGAUGCCAGGGAUUGGAUGCGUGUUGUGAUGGCCGUCACUGCCUUGUUGACCCGAGUGAUGAGUGUCUCCCCCUCCAUGGCGCCAGACCCCUGACUGCCCUCCACUGCCCCUGCCUCGUGUUGCUGCUGCCGGAAUAUAGAGGAGAACUGCUUCAAUGAAGAGCACAAAAGUGGCUGUGAAGCAAUUUUUGUGUUGUCACUCCAGAUGUUCCCAGUCCAUCCAAGGGUCAACAUCACUCUUAAGUCCUGGGAUCUAGGUGUGGUGGAGAGUAUGGUGCCUGAACACACAGUGAGCAGUCAAAGAAGGUGGAGAAUGGUCAAGAAUGCUUUCCUCCUUUGAUGCCAGACAGCUGCUUGAAUUGUGCAUGUGCAUCCCUGCCAGUACCAGCCCACAAAUUGAUGUAACCAGAUGUAACCAUAUCAGACUCUGGCAACAUGAGUUGAUGAAGAACACAAAGCUGAACACACUGCCACAUGAAAAACAUGCCAGUUUGGAUUUUUCCAGACACUAAGCAAGAUAUCUCCACAGCUUUCAUGAAGAAGCACAAAGCCCAAACUUACCUUGUGC
This is a long non-coding RNA of Scylla paramamosain (green mud crab), 1006 nucleotides long. RefSeq lists it as uncharacterized. The record is from RefSeq and is a predicted model, not a curated record. NCBI's taxonomy places the organism in Eukaryota, Metazoa, Arthropoda, Malacostraca, Decapoda, Portunidae. The transcript is spliced from 7 exons.